GAUGAACGCUGGCGGCGUGCCUAAUACAUGCAAGUCGAGCGAACGGACGAGAAGCUUGCUUCUCUGAUGUUAGCGGCGGACGGGUGAGUAACACGUGGAUAACCUACCUAUAAGACUGGGAUAACUUCGGGAAACCGUAGCUAAUACCGGAUAAUAUUUUGAACCGCAUGGUUCAAUAGUGAAAGACGGUCUUGCUGUCACUUAUAGAUGGAUCCGCGCUGCAUUAGCUAGUUGGUAAGGUAACGGCUUACCAAGGCAACGAUGCAUAGCCGACCUGAGAGGGUGAUCGGCCACACUGGAACUGAGACACGGUCCAGACUCCUACGGGAGGCAGCAGUAGGGAAUCUUCCGCAAUGGGCGAAAGCCUGACGGAGCAACGCCGCGUGAGUGAUGAAGGUCUUCGGAUCGUAAAACUCUGUUAUUAGGGAAGAACAUAUGUGUAAGUAACUGUGCACAUCUUGACGGUUCCUAAUCAGAAAGCCACGGCUAACUACGUG
RNAcentral lists this ribosomal RNA (497 nucleotides) under uncultured bacterium. Its description in RNAcentral is "partial 16S ribosomal RNA". It matches the Rfam family "Bacterial small subunit ribosomal RNA", at positions 28 to 507 of the family's 1533-position model. The record is from RNAcentral.